CACUUCUAAGGAAGGCAGCAGGCGCGCAAAUUACCCAAUCCUGACUCAGGGAGGUAGUGACAAGAAAUAACAAUAAACCGGCUUAUGCCGGUUUAAUUGGAAUGAGUACAAUUUAAACAUCUUAACGAGGAACAAUUGGAGGGCAAGUCUGGUGCCAGCAGCCGCGGUAAUUCCAGCUCCAAUAGCGUAUACUAAAGUUGUUGCAGUUAAAAAGCUCGUAGUUGGAUUUCUGUGGGGACGGAGCGGCCGGCCGCACAUCGCGGUUCGAGCUAGCGCUUUCCCUACAUCCUGCCGCGAACCGUGCUACCAUUAGUUUGGUGGCGCCAGGGAUCGGCUCGAUUACUUUGAGAAAAAUAGGGUGUUCAAAGCAGGCCACAUGCCUUGAAUAAGUUAGCAUGGAAUAAUAACUAAGGACUUCGGUUCUAUUUUGUUGGUGUUCGGGACUGAAGUAAUGAUUGAUAGGGACAGUUGGGGCGGUCUGUAUUCCAAAGCGAGAGGUGAAAUUCUUAGACCUUCGGAAGACAAACAGCUGCGAAAGCGUUCCGCAAGGAUGUUCCCUUUGAUCAAGAACGAAAGUUGGGGGAUCGAAGACGAUCAGAUACCGUCGUAGUCUCAACUAUAAACUAUACCAGCUAGGGAUCGGCCAACGUUAUUUCAUACCGACUUGGUCGGCACCUUAUGAGAAAUCAAAGCAUCUGGGUUCCGGGGGGAGUAUGGUCGCAAGGCUGAAACUUAAAGGAAUUGACGGAAGGGCACCACCAGCCGUGGAGCCUGUGGCUUAAUUUGACUCAACACGGGAAAACUUACCAGGUCCAGACAUAGUAAGGAUUGACAGAUUGAUAGCUCUUUCUUGAUUCUGUGGGUGGUGGUGCAUGGCCGUUCUUAGUUGGUGGAGUGAUUUGUCUGGUUAAUUCCGUUAACGAACGAGACCCCAGCCUGCUAAAUAGCGCGCGUGAGCUUUGCUCGCGGCGAGCUUCUUAGAGGGACUCUGAUGCGCGAUAGCACAUGGAAGUUUGGGGCAAUAACAGGUCUGUGAUGCCCUUAGAUGUUCUGGGCCGCACACGGGCUACACUGGCGCCUGCAACGAGCAUAUCAGCUGGCCCGAGAGGGUCUUGGCUAAUCUUUUGAACCGGCGCCGUGCUUGGGAUUGACCUUUGCAAUUGUUGGUCAUGCAACGAGGAAUGCCUUGUAAACGCGAGUCAUCAGCUCGCAUUGAAUACGUCCCUGCCCUUUGUACACACCGCCCGUCGCUCCUACCGAUGAAUGUUCCGAUGAAAUUUUCGGAGAGCACCUGUGAACUUGGCUCUGCCUUGCGAACGGGAGGCUCAAAGUCACUUAAAUCUGAACAUUUC
RNAcentral lists this ribosomal RNA (1352 nucleotides) under uncultured marine eukaryote. Its description in RNAcentral is "SSU rRNA". It matches the Rfam family "Eukaryotic small subunit ribosomal RNA", at positions 411 to 1775 of the family's 1831-position model. The record is from RNAcentral.